UAUUGCAGUGAACCAAAAAUUAUCAAAUAUUGGCAAUUUCAUAUAGUUUAAUCUAAUACUACUAAUAGAAAUCCAUUCUUUGUAAAUAUCUUAAUCCUUUCCUUAUUCAUCUCCUAGUUUGUGGAAGGACAGGUGAUUUAAUUGCUCCAAUAUAACUUUUUUUUUUGAGACAAAGUUUGGCUCUUGUUGCCCAGGCUGGAAGUGCAGUGGUGAAAUCUCAGUUCACUGCAACCUCCACUGCCCAGGUUCAAGCAAUUCUCUUGCCUCAGCCUCCCUAGUAGCUGGGAUUACAGGCAUGUGCCACCAUGCCCAGCUAAUUUUUUUGUAUUUUUGAUGGAGAUAGGGUUUCUCCAUGUUGGUCAGGUUGCUCUCGAACUCCUGACCUCAGGUGAUCCACCCACCUCAGCUUCCCAAAGUGCUGAGAUUACAGGCGUGAGCCACUGAGCCCAGCCCCAAUAUAAUGUUUUUUAACUUUUACUUGUUUUAGUUUUCCUAAAGAGUCACAUAGAUUUCUUUUACUGUUAACACAGCGUCCAUGAAGACUGUGUAUGCAAUAUACAUGGUUCCCAGAGCCAACAACCUACUGAGGAUGUUGUCACAGAGAAUCUGGCGCAGAGUGGAUGUGAAGUGAGCUUAAAAUUGGACAGAGCUGGACUAUCAGAAAGUGGUAAAUGAAGCAGUCCACUCCUGGCUCCUUUAAACUACUGUGACUGUUCUGCUGUUUUGGGGAAGAGCGUUCCUAUACUAGCCAGGUGGUUGUGACAAACAAACGUUGAACAUGACCAUUCAUCAUUCCACACAGUGGAGAUGAGGUUUGGUCCGCAGCAGGAGGUAGUUAAAUUUGACGUACUCAAAGUGAAUUGCAUGGCCUGGCUGCUAUUGAGUAGCCUUGCUGGGAGUAGCCUAUGAUGGAAGGAAAUUCUUCUCUGUUGUGGUGUUUUGGGGAAGUUGCCUGGUGGGGAGAGGAAAACAUAAAGCUGGGAUAAGAACUGUGCUCUCCAAAGAAAAAAGGAGGCUACUUUUGAGAUGGAGUCUUGCUCUGUCACCUAGGCUGGAGUGAAAUGGUGUGGUCUCGGCUCACUGCAACAUGUUUCCUGGGUUCAAAUGAUUCUCCUGCCUCAGCCUCCCAAGAAGCUGGGACUACAGAUGCAUGCCACCAGGCCCAGCUAAUUUUUAUAUUUUUAGUAGAGAUGGGGGUUUCACUAUGUUGGCCAGGCUGGUCUCGAACUCCUGACCUCAUGAUCUGCUCUCCUCGGCCUCCCAGAGUGCUGAGAUUACAGACGUGAGCCACCACACCUGGCCAGGAGGCUACUUUUGAAUGAAUGCAUCUAUGAUGCAAGAUCUAGUGGGAGGCUUCUCUUCUUUUGAAAGACCAUUCUGUGCCCCACCCUGUUCCUAUCCCACAUUUGCCUCAAUUUCAUUUUUUCCUUAGAUUUCACAUUAUAGAUACAUAAAUAACUCAAACUCAAGUGGAACAUUCUGGAGAGACAGAGUUUCUAGUUAAUACAGGAACAACCUUUCAAUAAAACUAGUAUCACAUUUGAAAUGCAAUGAUAUCGUCCAGGAUGCUUUAGACUUUCUUGGCAUCUGGAGUGAAUGCUACUGCUUGUAGAAAAUAAUCCACUGAUUUCAGAAUUCUGGGGGCGGUGGGGGUGCUCCCUUUCUCUCUUCUUUCUUUCUACACUUAAAAAAUAACCUGCAAAUCUUGUUCAAAUUCUUUUGCAAGGAAAUGUAUAAACUAUCUGUGCAUCCUACAGGUUUUUCCCCAUCAUGAUGGCUCUAAACUAAGGAAAAUACAUUUACAUGCCCAUAAACUCAGACACUCUUGGAGUCCCAUUUUCUUUCUGUGUGUGCUGUUCCUUUUCUCUCUCUCUCUCUCUUUGUGUCUAUGGUUACUGUUAAGCUGACCUCUACAGUCUGGGGCAAAUACCAAACUUGAAUCAAGCACUACUUAUCCAUACAGCUGUGAAGGAUUGCGGUUUCAGGGGCUCAGAUGAUAGAUUCAAGUAAAGUUUCUAACUGGAGUUUAGGAAACCUGUUAUGAUUUCAUCUACAAAGGCAGGCUGCAUCGCACCCCACUGUGCCGAAUUUUAGAUGCAAUGUUGUGUUAUUGUUGUUUUUUCUUUUUUUAAUGAGAAACAUCUUUAUUAUAAAUGAUCCAUUUUUAUGUCUGUGUUGAUUUUUAUAAUACCGAAUUUCAUUGUUGAGAACAAUGACUGCAGAAAGAUCUUUAUUGUUCCUGCCUCCUGUCUGGAAGCAACUGUUGCUUGCAAAAACCAUAGCUAAUUAAACAUUGAACUUAAUUAGCUACAAAGAAGCCAGACUGGCCAGGGCUGGGAGGAAGGGCAGAUAAAGCUGCCGACUCUGUGUUCUUCUUUACCUUCGCUUUAAUGGUCUUCGCAGCUGGUCGUGUUUAUGAGUCAGACGACCCUAGAGCGACACUUGUUGGGGACGGGCAGGACACCACAGCCCGACCGGCAGCUCCUGCGAGUGGCGGCCAGAGCCGAGUGCCAGCGCCGUGGAAACCGGUUCUCAGGUUCUCGCCGAGUGGACUUGCCCUUACAUCAGCGGGCCUGCUCCUGUCAGGCAGGCGGCCGGCGAUUGGCCGGGAGGAGGCAGUCAUUCAAACUGCCUUUUGUGCUUGGAUAAUCAGGGCAGCCCAGGUUCCCAGCGGAGGUGCGUCUGUGGUGUCAGACACCUGUGUCUCAGCUCUGCCUUCCUGGGGCUGGCUUCUGAGGAUCCUUUCUGGGCCGGAACCGCCUCUCUGGGCCACCUCCCCCAAGCCCCCGCGGUGGACCAGCCUUGGCCCCGUGUCACGCAGGACAGAAAUGUCCAACAGAUAACUGAGGACAAUGGACGUGCCUAGGCAUAGACUUCCUUAAGGUUUGUUCCUCAUGGUUGCAAGAUGGUUGCUGCGGCUCCAGGCAUCACAUCCUCACAGAUCUGUGUCCAAAGAAGGAAAGGAGUUCUAGUUUCGUGUAUUUCAUCAAGAAUGAUAAAUACUUUUUCAAAAAUCGUCCUGCAAACUCUCUUUUUUUGGGGGGUCAGAUCUCAUUAGCUAGGCUAUGUCCUAUAUCCUUGCCUACACUAACUAGUAACUGGCAGGGAGUCAGAUUACCAUGAAUGAUAUAGAUUAGGCAGGGUUAAUCCCUUAGGGUGAUGAAGGAGCUGCUUUCUGAGCACAUCAUUAUCUGAUGGUGUAAUAGAAUCAAAAUUAUACUUGUGGAGUAAAACAGGGGUUGGUGACCAUUGAAUAAACAAUUAUGAGGGCCUGUCUUAGAUGAGCAAGUGUCUAAGCCAGGCGAAUCAGAGGAUUUCUUUGGAAUUUUAUGUUUUCAUGCACGGAGUCUAAGAGGAGGCAGCAGUCUCUUUUGCAGUUGUUCAUCUGGGAUAAGGUAAACCUGAAGUUCUCUGCUCUGUGGUUGUCUUCUGUGUACUUUGCCCCCACAUGCACACACACUGAAUCCUGUUGGUGUACAUGAAAGUGAGGUCUUUUUCUCACCUUGCUCUCUAUGUUUAUACUGUCAUGCCCCACAUAAUAACAUUUGGGUCAACAACAGACCCCAUGCGUGACAGUGGUUCCGUAAACUGAUAACGGAGCAUAUACAGAAACGUGAUACACAGCACUUGCUAUUGGCCCUGCAGAUCAAGUAGGGGAAAUGUUUGAUCUUCAGUAAUGUGCUGGGACGGUUGUUUUGUCGUAUAAAAUAUAGCCAGGUGUGGUGGCUUGUGCCUAUGAUCUCAGCUACUUGGGAGUUAGAGGCAAAAGGAUUGCUUGAGCCUGGGAGGUAGAGGCUGCAGUGAGCUGUGAUCACACCACUAUAUUCCAGCCUGAGCAACAGAGCAAGACCCUGUCUCUAAGAAGAAAAGCGAAAGGUGUUGUAUAUAACAUCUAGGUUUGUGUACAUACUGUCUCUGAUGUUUUUGCGAUGAAAUUGCCUAAUCCAGGCUGGGUGCGGUGGCUCAAGCCUGUAAUCCCAGCACUUUGGGAGGCCGAGGCGGGUGGAUCAUAAGGUCAAGAGAUCAAGACCAUCUUGGUCAACAUGGUGAAACCCCAUCUCUACUAAAAAUACAAAAAAAAAAAAAAAUCAGCUGGGCAUGGUGGCGCGUGCCUGUAAUCCAGCUACUCAGGAGGCUGAGGCAGGAGAAUUGCCUGAACCCAGGAGGCGGAGGUUGCAGUGAGCCAAGAUUGCACCAUUGCACUCCAGCCCGGGUAACAAGAGCAAAGCUCCGUCUCAAAAAAAAGAAAUUGCCUAAUCUUGUCACGUAUUCCCAUCGUUCAGCAAUGCAUGACUGUGUCUAGAUGUAUAGGUAGGUAGAUAGGCACAGACACACAGACACACACACACACACAGACACACACUCUCCAGUGGAUGCUGUCUCUCUCAAGGGAUAACCUGACAAUAAUUUCCAGUCCCUGAGGCCAUCUCCAUCCCUGGCCUUCUCAAGAAAUUCCCAUUUUUGCUUGAAUUUCUCUGUUGGUGUCACUUCAUCAUUUGCAACAACAGGAACACAAUCCCAUCAGAACCAUUCUAAGCUUCUGGGAUUCUGUCCCUCACAUCUGCUAGUGUGUGGACCUGGCUCACCCCAGUGCCAUCACUGGGCUCUACCCCAGGUGCCCCACAGCUCUAGAGCCUUACCACCUGAUAAACUCAGCCUUGCCCAGCACCAGGUUGCACCAGCAGCAAUGCGAACAGCUCCGCCUAUAGCUGAGCAAGAGCAGGUUCAGCCUCACCACUUCAAUGGGACCUUGUUGGGGAUCAUGUCCUCCUAGAAUAGAUGAGAACGGGGAGACAGUAACCUCUGUCUCUGAUAAAGGUGUAAUAUCUGCCCAGUCUUUCCUAAAGUGACUCAACGAAAGAGACCACCCGAUCGACAAGUACAUUUUCAUAAAUAAAAUGACUUGAUUUCAGAUAUACAAGUGCCUUUGUUUGACAGGGAGUUUAAAUCUGGUGGCUGUAUUCCUUUUGGCCUGACUUAAAUAGGCAAAGAGAGUUGUGGAUUCCUAUCAGUGGGGAAUCAGUAAAGGAUUCGAGAAGGAAGUGACUAGGAGAGCAGAGCGAAGUCAUAAACAAAAUCAGUGUGGCCAUGAGGGGAAGGCCAACUGGAUUAAUGAGAAAAAUCCCAUGGAAGGUGGAAAUAUAAGACAUGGAGACUCAUUCAGGAAGUAUAGAUAGUUUUUUUCAUAUUUAUUUUUCCUAUUUUGUCAUGCAAAUGGUAUAAACAUUUGUGAAACUAGAGAGUCAUACAAAUUCCCAUGCACGCACCAUCCAGCUGAAUGGCUCUUGUUAAGUAGAACAAGACAAGGAGAAGAUGAAAGAAAGGAGCAGGACCCAGUGAAGGACAAAAUGUUCCAUGACAGAUCCAUGAGUGAACUUGUCAAGAAGGAACAGGAAGCUGAAAUCCAAGAUGUUUAUUCUUCUAAAUCAUAGGUUAAUGAAAUAAUUGAUAAAUGAGAUCUGGCUUCUAGUUAUUUGAGUAGGGAUUAUGUACUUUGAGGAAGCAGAUCCCCUGUUACGUAAUCUCCCAAUUGCUGUUGUGGGGGGACCAAAAGGCCCCCAUCUAACAAGGUGACAAGGCUCAGACAGCAAGAGGCAGCAUUUGUUUGUUUGGCAUUUAGCAACUUCUUAUCUACAGUCUCCCAGGCACUGCUCUAGGCUUUGCGGACAUGCAAUUCUGAAGGACUGGGUUCUUGCUUUCUGAGAAUGCAGCACCUACUGGUGAAAAUAGAUGAGAAAAAUGUAUGCUUAUAGCAGGCAUGCUGUAAUGAAGUUUUUCUGGUAACAUAGAAAAGAUGAAAGCUGCUGGGCGCAGUGGCUCACGCCUAUAAUCCCAGCACUUUGGGAGGCCGAGGCGGGUGGAUCAUGAGGUCAAGAGAUCGAGACUAUCCUGGUCAACAUGGUGAAACCCUAUCUCUACUAAAAAUACAAAAAUUAGCUGGGCAUGGUGGCGCACACCUGUAGUCCCAGCUACUCGGGAGGUUGAGGCAGGAGAAUUGUUUGAACCCAGGAGGCGGAGGUUGCAGUGAGCCAAGAUCGCGCCAUUGCACUCCAGCCUGGGUAACAAGAGCGAAACUCCAUCUCAAAAAAAAAAAAAAGAAAGAAAAGAUGAAAGCUUCUUGUAGGAGGAUGAUUGUCUUGAUCUUUGGAAGGAUGAACAGGUGUUAGGUAAAUGGAUUUAGUGAGCAAAGGUGUUCUAGCUAGACAAAGUAAAUUAUGCAAAGGGAGAGAGGUACCCAAAGAGAACCUUAGCCAGGGCUGCAGGGUUGAUGGCACACUUGUGACCUACUAAAAGACAAGGUGGGGAUGAGGUAGGGGUGGCCAGGAAGUGGGAAGCAGGGGCUAAAAUUCAGCCUGGGCUUUGCCCCCUGGUGCAGCUGUAUCCACCUGGAGAAAGAGAUGGCGUUUUCUGGUUUGACAAGGGGCCACAUUGGGGGUAGCCCUGUCUGAGCGUAUUUGGUAUUCUUUGACUAAAGAGUGUGUGCGAGGAUGCUCAUGAGUUUGAACAGAACCCAGAAAGGUGGUGAGGCAUUAAUAAAUAAUUAAAAGGCAGAGUAGUGACAAAAUCAGACCUGCGCUUGCAAAAGACCAUUCUUGCUGCAUUUUGGGAGCUGGUUUUAAAGAUGUUAAGUCUGAAGCAAAAGAAACCAGUGAGGAAAGGCUGGUUCAGGUGAAAAAUAAUGGGGGCCUGAAUGGCAGCUGUGGGAGGGGAAGGAAAGGAAGUGGUGCAUUGAAUAUCCAGAAGGUACAGCAGGCAGACUUGGUGAUCGGCUGGCUCCUUGGGUGCAGGGGAGCAAGGUGAGGAGGAUGACUCCCAGGGUUUCAGCUUCAGCAGGCUCAGUGGAAGGUGAUCACAUUCCAGCAAAGAUCAAUAAACCCAAGAACUUUGCCGCAGUGUGUGCUGAGGUGUUACCUGUUGAAUAAUAACAAUAAAAGAGUUCUUUAUAUUAGCAUGGUGGUUAAAGAUUAAAAGGAAGGCUUUAGUAUUACCUUUUGAAACAGAGGAAAAACACCUUGAUCUUGGGUUGUGUCCCUUCAGAGAAUGAGCAAUUGAUAUGAAAGAAAACUGUAGGGUCUCUUGCAUUGCCAUUCCAUUCAAGUACAGCAAAAUCCCCCUUAGUGGAUAAACUGGCCAUUCAAGAUAGGUCAGAGAGUAAUGACCAGCUGCAGAAAGUGAGUUCAUCUCCUUUCUUUGUUUCAAGAUGAAAAUAAUAUAAAUCUAGGAUAUCUCAAAUCCUUUCCCAUUGCUUUUGGAGAAAGCAGGUUUGGUUUUGUUUCUGGUGGUGGACAUGUCAGCAGCAUUCUUUCCAUCUCCCUGUGGUUGUCGUGAUGGUGUCCUAGCACAGGCUUUGAAGUUGAAUGGUCCUGAGUUUGAAUUCCUAGUUCAUCACCGUCUGUCACUUUGGGCAGAAUACUUAUCUCUGUGAACAUCAUCUGUAAAAUGUAGGGAAAUAUGGUUUCCUCAUGGAGCUGUUAUGUGGGUUAAGGGACAAGGAAAGGGGGUCCUUGGCACAGGACCUGUAGCACAUGCUGGUCACAAGUGGUGGUGCUAUUGUACUUGUUAAUGCCGGUGUUCAGAUAUCAAGAAAGGAUAUAACACCUGGAAUCUAGCACUUUAGGAGGCUGAGGCGGGAGGAUCACUUGAGCCCAGGACAAUGUAGUGGACCCUGUCUCUACAAAAAACAUUGUUUUUAAAAAUUAGCCAGAUGUGGUGGCACAUGCCUGUAGUCCCAGCUACUCAGGAGGCUGAAGCGGGAAGAUGGCUUGAGCCCAGGAGGUCAAGGCUGCAGUGAGCCAUGAACAUGCCACUGUAUUUGGUCUAAAGGAAAAAAAAGACUUGCUUUUGCAGCCUUUGAUUAUUUUAUGGGCUUGCAUCUAUUAGAUGCUGACCAUAUAUUAUGUUGUCUUCUUUAUGGGUUAACCUGAGAACAAAGAGUUCCAUGCCACGUGAGUCAAAGAGCAGGUUAUAUACAUGGCUUGCUCCUUCCGGAUGUGUCUUGAGGUACUGUGCUUGUGACAGAGAAGCAUACCGUUAGACUGUAGAAAUCACUGGAAAGAAAACAGAAAACUGGUACUUUCGGCUUUCACAUGAUCAAGGUGUUUUCCUAGGAUAGAGUAGGCCACUGAAGCUACAUGAUAUUACAUUAAUAAUUCAACAAAGCACAUUGAUUAACUACCGCCCACGACUUCAGCAGCUAAUAGCACUAAAGAAAAUGGACUUCAAUUUUCUUAUCAAGAAAUGGUCUUGAUAAGACACCAAGUGACUAUAACUUUGGUCAUCGCUCUGGAAUGUCUCUGUUGGUGCUGCCAGUUUUCAUUGCCCAUAGGUGCAAUGUGGAAAUUUUUAUAAAUGCUCCCAUUUAAUGCUUUUACAAAUUAACAACAUUUUUAUACGGUAUUGUAACUGAAAACGAACAAGUAUUCUUCUUAUCUCACCUGUAGAAAAGGGAGUGGUGAGAAUUCGGGAGUUAAUAUUGUAAAAACAAUAAGAAAUACAUGUUUAAGUAUUACUGGUUUUGAUUGGCACUGAAUCCUCAUGAAGCAUCCAUGAGAAUCAAACAGAACCAGGGACUAGGAAAAGUGGAAAGUCUGUGUUCUUGUAUUACCCUAAAAUCUAUUAGGUUCGUGCAAAAGUAAUCAUGAUUUUUGCAAUUACUUUAAUGGCAAAAACCACGAUUACUUUUGCACCAACCCACGCCUUUGAGAAGGAAGAGAAGUUUUCAGCGUGUUUAAAAUUAGCCAUCCGUAGUUUGUUGUAAAAGGGAAAGAAAAUUAGGUGACAGUUAAAAAUUUAAAUCAGUGGUUCUCAGCUAGAGGCGAUUUCCCUCCAAGGGACAUUUAGCAAAACCUGGAGAGAUUUGGUAGUCACAACUGUGUGUGAUGUGGGAAGGGGGUUGUGCUAUUGGCAUCUAGUAGGUAGAGGUCAGGGAUGCUGCCCACAUCCUGCAAUGCACAGGAAAGGCCCCCCCAAUAGAGAAUUACCUGAUCUGGUCCCAAAUGUCAGUAGUGCCAAGGCUGAGAAACACUGAGUUAAGUUAACAGCUGCUGGGAGCUUCCAGCAUGGGACUGUCUCUUUCAGCAAGGAAUUAGCCAUCCUGUUAAUUGAAAUUAUUUUCCUUAGGUUAUGUAGGGAAAAUAUACUCCUCUACUUUCUUUCUUUCUAUUUAUUUAUUUAUUUUUAAGAUGGAGUCUCGUGCCUCUCUACUAUUUAUUUAUUUAUUUAUUUAUUUAUUUAUUUAUUUAUUUAUUUUUGAGACAGAGUCUUGCUCUGUCACCCAGGCUGGAGUACAAUGGUGCAAUCUCUGCUCACUGCAACCUCCACCUCCCAGCUUCAAGGGGUUAUCCUGUCUCAGCCUCUCGAGUAGUUGGGACUACAGGUGCACUACCACGCCCAGCUAAUUUUUUUGUAUUUUAGUAGAGACGGGAUUUCACUGUGUUGGCCAUGCUGGUCUCCUCAGGUGAUCCACCCACCUUGGCCUCCCAAAGUGCUGGAAUUAUAGGCGUGAGCCACCGUGCCUGGGCUUACCCCACUACUUCUUACAGGUUUAGUUUAGACUAGAUAUCUUCUUUAUACAGAGCUCUCAAAUUAUCAGACAAUUCAGUUCCCAAAGUCUUCAGGCCAGGUACUUGAUAGAUUGUGGGUGCAAAACAACAAGCAGGUUGGCUCAAGGGUUCACUUCUCAGCUGGUUGAGUCAGACUCUGUGGGGACACAGCUGUUUUGUGGUGAUAAAGAGAGCAGAAUAAAGAACUUGGUUGAGGAAAUGCCUUCACAUUUCAACACUCCUCUUCAAGGAAAGGGAAAGUUGGCUUUUCAAAUUCUUGCUAAGUGUGAAGCCAUCCAGGAGCAAUUACAGAAUCUGUUUUCCUUGACUUAGUUCAUGAACUAUUUAUUGAGCACUUACCGUCCCAAUCCCUGUGAUAAGUACUGCUCCUGAUACAAAGAAAACUCAAAUGAUUUUAAGACUAACUAAAAAAAAAUUAUAGGGCUGGGCAUGGUGGCUCAGGCCUGUAAUCCCAGCACUUUGGGAGGCCGAGGCAGAUGGAUCACAAGGUCAAGAGAUCAAGACCAUCCUGGUCAACAUGGUGAAACCCCGUCUCUACUAAAAAUACAAAAUAUUAGCUGGGCAUGGUGGCGCGUGCCUGUAAUCCCAGCUACUCAGGAGGCUGAGGCAGGAGAAUUGCCUGAACCCAGGAGGCGGAGGUUGCGGUGAGCCGAGAUUGCGCCAUUGCACUCCAGCCUGGGUAACAAGAUUGCACUCCAGCCUGGGUAACAAGAGCGAAACUCCGUCUCAAAAAAAAAAAAAAAAAAAAAAAAAAUAGCCAUUUUGUGAAGAGAGGAAGAUUGAGCGGUUGUGGCCGUGUUGCCGACCUCGAGCAGCAGGCGGCUUCUCCGUGUAGAACCCGGGAGUAGGAGACUCAGAAUCGAAUCUCUUCUCCCUCCUCCCUCCUGUGAGAGUAUUUUGAUCUUCAGCUACAUUUUCGACGUUGUGAGAAACCUUAUCAUCAAACACAAUGGCCAGCAACGUUACCAACAAGACAGAUCCUCGCUCCAUGAACUCCUGUGUGUUCAUUGGGAAUCUCAACACUCUUAUGGUCAAGAAAUCUCAGGGGGAGGCAACCUUUUCCAAGUAAGGCAAAAUGGUGGGCUGCUCUGUUCAUAAGCGCUUUGCCUUUGUUCUAUAUAUUAAUGAGAGAAAUGCCCAGCCUGCUGCAGCAGGAGAGGAUGGCUGAAUCAUUGCUGGCCAGGUUUUAGAUAUUAACCUGGCUGCAGAGCCAGAAGUAAACCGAGGAAAAGCAGGUGUGAAACGAUCUGCAGUGGAGAUGUAUGGCUCCUCUUUUGACUUGGACUAUGACUUUCAAAGGGAUUAUUAUGAUAGGACGUACAGUUACCCAGCACGUGUACCUCCUCCUCCUAUUGCUCGGGAUGUAGUGCCCUCGAAAUGUCAGCGUGUAUCAGGAAACACCUCGCGAAGGGGCAAAAGUGGCUUUGAUUCUAAGAGUGGACAGCAGGGAUCUUCCAAAUCUGGAAAGUUGAAAGAUGACCUUCAGGCCAUUAAGAAGGAGCUGUCCUAGAUCAAACAAAAAGCGGAUUCUCUCCUGGAAAACCUGGAAAAAACUGAAAAGGAACAGAGCAAACAAGCAGUAGAGAUGAAGAAUGAUAAGUCAGAAGAGGAGCAGAGCAGCAGCUCCGUCAAGAAAGAUGAGACUAACGUGAAGAUGGAGUCUGAGGGGGGUGCAGAUGACUCUGCUGGGGAGGAGACCUACUGGAUGAUGAUGGUAGUGAUGACCAGCUGGAGUUGAUCAAGGAUGAUGAAAAGGAGGCUGAGGAAGGAGAGGAUGACAGAGACAGUGCCAAUGGUCAGCAUGACUCUUAGGCACAUAGUGGGGUUUAGAAAUCUUAUCUCUUUAUUUCUUUACCUAGGCGCUUGUCUAAGAUCAAAUUUUUCACCAGAUCCUCUCCCCUAGUAUCUUCAGCACAUGCUCACUGCCCUCCCCAUCCUUGUCCUUCCCAUAUUCAUUAAUUCAUAUUUCCCUGUGCCUAGUCCCAUUUUCACUCCCUUUGAUGCUCCUAGUAGUUUUUUGUUGUCUUACCAUGUAAUUUUUGCUUUUAAUUUUGAUACCUCUUUAUGACUUAACAAUAAAAACGAUGUAUGGUUUUUAUCAACUGUCUCCAAAAUAGUCUCUGGUUAUGAAGGGAGUACAGUUCUUUUCAUUCAUACAUGAGUUCAGUAGUUGCUUCCCUGACUGCAAAGGCAGUUGAGUAGCUCCUGAAAGCAGCUUUGAGUUAGACGUGUGUGUGUUACACCCCACAUUAGUGUGCCGUGUGGGGCAGUUCAACACAAAUGUAAUGACAUAUUUUUGUGAAUGAGAGUUGGCAUGUCAAAUGCAUCCUCUAGAAAAAUGACUAGUGUUACAGUCUUAAGAUUUGUUUUCUGCCGGGCGCGGUGGCUCAUGCCUGUAAUCCUAGCACUGGGAGGCCGAGGCGGGUGGAUCACGAGGUCAAGAGAUCGAGAUCAUCCUGGUCAACAUGGUGAAACCCCAUCUCUACUAAAAAUACAAAAAAUUAGCUGGGCAUGGUGGUGCGUGUCUGUAAUCCCAUCUACUCAGGAGGCUGAGGCAGGAGAAUUGCCUGAACCCAGGAGGUGGAAGUUGCAGUGAGUCUGGGUAACAAGAGCGAAACUCCGUCUCAAAAAAAAAAAGAUUUGUUUUCUAAAGUUGAUACUGUGGGUUAUUUUUGAGAACAGCCUGAUGUUUGUAACCUUUUUUCCUCAAAAUAAACAAGUCCUUAUUAAACCAGGAAAAAAAAAAUGACAAAGUCCUGUAGGUCAUCCCUUUAUCUCAGAAAAAAAGAAAUGUUGGACAAAGGAUCUCUCUCCUAGAUUUUAUGUUAGCUGUAUCUUACAAUGUAUAAAGUUAAAUCCACAUUCUAUGCAUGUAAUUGUCUAUUGAAAGCUGUAAAAAUAUACAAAUUUCUAAUACAUGACUCAGUCAUAUGCUAAUUUUCUUGAUUUUUUUUCCUUUAGAAUGCUUUUGCUUUAUCUUUGAAAGAUGACCCAGUUCUCAGGCUUACUAUUGGAGAUACAUUGAUAUAUAGUAGGCAAAAUUAAAUUUAAUUACAAUACAUAAACUUGAUCAUAUGAGAAAGGUUUUAAAUUGGACCUCUCUUGGUCCAGCCUAUAGGAAAACAAAUUACUUUUCAUUAUGUGAAUGCAUCUCCAGACACUUCAGUAGAACUUACUGUACAAAUACGACAGAAGAGGUAGGAAGGUGGACCCUGGAGCCAGACUACCUGGAUUAAAAUCCUGCCUCUGCCACUGAUACUCUGUGACUGUGCAACCUUAGAUCACUUCCCUCCUGGUGCCUCAGCGUCCUUUUCUUCAAAUUGAGGAUAACAGUCAUAGUAUUUUCCUUAGAAAGUGAUUACAAGAACUGAAUGAGCUAAUGCAUGUAAAUAGCACAUAGUAAAUGCUCAGUAUACAUUAUUUUUAUUGUCAUUAUUGUUGUGUUUUAUUUUAUUUUUCUAUAUUUGUACUAAAGAUGCAUUGAUGGAUGGAGCCGUUGCAGCUUGCCUAAGUGCAAUGUGGUAUAAAGUCUCCUUAUUUUGAUUCCACGUGUUCCUUGAAAUAGUUAUCUUUUAAAAACACAUAUUUGGCCGGGUGCAGUGACAUAUACCUGUAAUCCCAGAACUCUGGGAGGCUGAUGCAGGCAAAUCACGAGGUCAGGAGAGCAAAACCAUUCUGGCUAACAUGGUGAAAGCCUGUCUCUACUAAAAAUACAAAAAAUUAGCUGGGCAUGGUGGCAGGUGCCUGUAGUCCCAGCUACUCAGGAGGGUGAGGCAGGAGAAUCACUUGAACCCGGGAGGCAGAGGUUGCAGUGAGCUGAGAUGUGCCACUGCACUCCAGCCUGGGUGACAGAGCAAGACACACAAAAAAACUGGACAAAACAAAACAAAAAAACCAUACUUUGGAACAGGACAUUUAUUGACUGAUUUAUGAGCAAAGCCUCUGACUUUCUGUGCAGUAUCACCACAUGAAGUAAUGGAAUAACACCAACAUCUUGUAUUCUUAAGCCUCUAGAGCAUCUCAGUCUUCAGGCAGCAGAGGAGGGCAUUUGUUAGAAUUGGAGCCUCUAGCUGCCUUGGAAGAGGAUGCUUUCAACUCGUUUAGCCUGUUGUAAUACUUGCGGGGGGUACUGGUUGAUUGCGCUUUAAAUCUGUUGAUAUCAAAUAUGGGCUGGCUAUAUUUAUGCCGAGUUGUUGAGAUAUUAUGUAAUAUUUAUUGUUCCUAAAGCAGGAUAGGAUGAAAAUGCUAUACACAAACAGGUUUCUAGAGCAUGUCUCACUUGCUCUCCUCCAUACAGACACAUGAUUGCUUUUGAGCUUAACUACAUUUCUUAUGGUAUCUAAGUUGCCUGUGUUAUUCUGGUGAGCAAAGGUGUUUGAUCAAAGUGAUCUCCUGAAAGUUUGAAUUUCCUCGUUAAAAUGUUCAGAUGGGAACUAUUCACCUAAAGAAUACCAUAAAGAUAUUAGAAAACAUUGCUUUUUUUUGUUGUUAUUUUGUUUGUUUAUUAUGAGAUGGAGUCUUGCUCUGUCACCCAGGCUGGAGUGCAAUCGCAUGAUCUUGGCUCACUGCAACCUCCACCUGGGUUCAAGCAAUUCUCCUGGCUCAGACUCCUGAGUAGCUGGGACUACAGGUGCAUGCCACCACACACAGCUAAAUUUUUUUGUAUUUUUAGUAGAGACCGGGUUUCACCUGUUAGCCAGGAUGGUGUCGAUCUCCUGAUGUCACCAUCCGCCCACCUCAGCCUCCCAAAGUGCUGGGAUUACAGGUGUGAGUCACUGCACCCAGCCAGAAAUCAUUGUUUUUUAAGCAUUGAUGCUGGUAAUUGUUAGUGUCUGAAACUUUUGAAAUCAAAAGGAUGCUGAAACACUAAAACAGUAAGUUUUAUAAGACAAAAGUAACCUUGCGUUCAAAAUAAGAGGUCUAGGAAUUAUAUUCUAUUGAUUUCAGAUUGAAUUUGUAGUAAAUAAAUAAUUACCUCUAUAUAAGGCUAAGAAUUUACUCAUCUAUAAAACCAAAAAGGUGAACUCGUUAAUCUCUAGGGUACAUUUUGUCUCUAAAAUUUCAAAAAUCCAUCUAAUAUGUUUCCCUGGAUUGAAUUCCUCAAGGGUCAAGGUGCAUGCACCUUUGACAGAGUGCUGAACGAAGCAUUACUAAUAACCAUUAAACUGAUAUGGAUUUAAAUGCCUCUUCUACAGCUCAAAUGUAGGCUUGAAAAGUAAUGUCCCCAUGGUGGUAAAAGCGUCAGUAUGAGUGUAUGUGUGGAAAGAUUUGUUGUAGGAAGAUCAGUCAGCCCUAUUUCAUGAUGACUUCAAUGGUGUGGGCGCAGCAGUGGAGCCACGGCCUUGAUGGCAUCAUCAGAGUGAAUUUUAAUUAAAAACGAGUGGAGAAAUCGACAGCCAGGAUUUACCCAGGAAAUAACUAAAUGACAUACAGCUCAGAAGAGAUAUUUUGAGGCACAAUUUUAUUGCAUUCUAGUGGGAGAGAAUAGUUCUCCUUAUAAAAAUUCUAAGAAAAGUUGGAAAAAUAAUGAGCACCAUAAAUUAGAUUUGAAUUUGGCAUGCACUGUAGCUGCAACACAUCCCAUUCUGUGUCCCCUUAAACUGUUGGAGAGCAGGCAGGUAUAACUCAUCCCUGUAACUUGGGUAAGCAGAAAUUAAAAUAAUUUUAUUUAAGAAACAAAUAGCAAAAAGAGGAAACUAUAAAGAAGAACUGUGCAACUCAGCUAAGUGACAACAAAGGGAAAAAACCUAAUGAAGUUGCUGAAGAGGGGGAAAUACUUUUUUAGUGGCGUAAAUCUCAGGACCAAACAACAACAACAAAAUGACAAGAUGUAUGCUUUUAAAUAGAUGAAAAAAAAUCCUUGUUUUCUAAAAUGUGACUUUAAAGACACUUGGUAGAAAUUCUAAUAGCUACAGUUCAAUUUCUUUCUAUAAUAACACUUUUGAUACAGAAUCACUAUCAUAUCAUAGUUCCAAAAAUGUAUUAAAGGCACAAUAUUACAUAUUUUAAACAAACAAAUAUUUUUAAGUAUCCUACUGACUGCUGCUUACCAGUGUGAUGCACAUUAACUACUAUGAAUGUCAGCUUUCGUGUCUGUAAAAUGGGAGUAAAGGCUGGAUGCGGUGGCUAACACCUGUAAUCACACUUUGGGAGGGGGGCGGAUCAUUUGAGGUCAGGAGUUUGAGACCAGCCUGACCAACAUGGUGAAACCCCCAUCUCUGCCAAAAUACAAAAAUUAGCCAGGCCUGGUGGCAGGCGCCUGUAAUCUCAGCUGCUUGGGAGGCUGAGGCAGGACAAUCACUUGAACCCAGGAGACGGAGGUUGCAGUGAGCCAAGAUCGUGCCACUGUACUCCAGCCUGGGCAACAGAGUGAAACUCCCUCUCAAAAAUUAAAUAAUAAAUAAAAUGGGAGUAAAAACCUUUAUCUCCAGAGUUCCUGGGAGUAUAAAUGACAUGCAUUUUCAUUAAAUUGCAUACGUAGAAUUUAGUGGGUAGCUGGCAGGAGUCCAAAAAAUGCCGUAGCAGCUUGCAUGUAGUGGUCUUGGUAUGCUAAACUCUUGACUCUGACAGUUUGCCUAUUUUUUACCAAAUCAGCUUACUGAACCUCAAUUCAAAAUCUUCAAAAAUGGCAGGAAAACUGUGUGUGUGUGUGUGUGUGUGUGUGUGUGUGUGUGUGUGUUUAUAUGUAUGUGUGUAUGAGAAACAUUUGAGAUUUGCAGUGUGCUCAGGAAUAUAAAGCAUUCUGGGAAAAAGAUGUCAUUCAAAUGCAAAUGAAUACUGGUCAUUUCCUCCAGUUUUAUUGACUAAAAGUAUCAGUUGCAACAUCUCAAAAUCUAAUCUAUUUCUGUUUUAUGGAAUUAAAGCUUGAUUUAACGCAUGUCUUGUGGUCCUUCUGGGUCUAGGAGAUGAACAGACCAAAGUGGAAAUAAACAAAGCCGGGAAUCUUAAGCUAGAGUGUUGAGACCUAUUCACUCCCACACCCGGAGGAAUUUAUGACCAGUAAGUUGCUCUCUAAUGAGCACAGAACAAGAGCAUUGCAUCUUCUCUUAAUUAGUUUGACAGAUAUUCAUUUAAAUUUGAAAAGAUUCCCAGACUUGGGAUAGCAAAGGAAAGUCUUGAAUUUCUUUUGCAUCUUAAUUCUGUUUUUGUUGUGGUGUCUCUGGGGAAUGUCAAUAUCUGAAGACAAAUAAAAACUCAUGUCUUCAUCCUGGGACCUCCACAUUUUCUAUUUAUUAUUGGCCACAAACCACCAGGUUUCAGUUUGCAGCUGUAAAGUCGAACACAAAAGCAACAGGUUCUGCAAUAAUGCUGUUGGGCCUGGUUUCUAAGAGGGGUGGAUUUUUUUUUUCUCUUGGUUAAUAAAGGACAGAGUUUCAAGGCAAGCUUUAAAUAGCCAUCUUUACAUCAGAAUAAGUCACUUCGUGGGCAUCAUGAAACUAUGAAUUGUUUUUACCCAUAGGGCAUAGUUACCACCAGCCCUUGGUAAUCCAUGGAAAUGAGUAAUUGGGAGACCUUAUAUACUCCCAAGCCCCACCCCCACCCCCAUUCUUUUUUUUUUUUUUUGGAGACAUAGCUUCGCUUUUGUUGCCCAGGCUGGAGUGCAAUGGUGCGAUGUCAGCUCACUGCAACCUCUGCCUCCCAGGUGCAAGCAAUUCUCCUGCCUCAGCCUCCCAAAUAGCUGGGAUUACAGGCAUGCACCACCACGUCGGCCUAAUUUUUGUAGUUUUUUAGUAGAGACGGGGCUUCACCAUGUUGGCCAGGCUGGUCUUGAACCCCUGACCUCAGGUGAUCCACCUACCUCGGCCUCCCAAACAGCUGGGACUACAGGAGACAGCCACUGCACCAGGCCCCUCUAGGCAGUUCUAAGGCUUGCUCAAAUUUGAGAAAUACUAAUGUAGCAUAAGUGUUUAAUAAAUGGUGGCUGAUAUCAGCCAGGUGUUUAAUAAAUGGUGGCUCACACCUGUAAUCCCAACACUUUGGGAGGCCGAGAUGGGCAGAUCACCUGAGGUCAGGAGUUCAAGACCAGCCGGGCCAACAUGGUGAAAACCUGUCUCUACUAAAAAUACAAAAAUUAGCUGGGUGUGGUGGCAGGCACCUGUAAUCCCAGCUACUCGGGAGGCUGAGGCAGGAGAAUCACUUAAACAUGGGAGGCAGAGGUUGCAGUGAGUCGAGAUUGCACCAUUGCACACCAGCCUGGGAGACAAGAGUGAAACUCCAUCUCAAAAAAAAUUGAAAAAAAAACCAAAACUAUAUAAAUGGUGGCUGAUAUCAUUAUAAUAGUAGUUGUUAUUAUUAUUAUGUAUCAUCAGUAACAUAUAAAUAGUGCUCAAUAUAGUUUGAUUUUUAGUACAUUUCUUGAUAUUCUAAUUUUGAAAAUUAGUCAUAUUUGGCAAAUUUUACUAAGUGAAUUGAGAUAUACAAUUAACAACACUUUUCUAACCAUUCAACAUUUAGGAAAGCUUGUAUAUGUUUUUAAUUUCCUGGUAACUGAAUGGAGAGGGGCAGUUACUUCAUUUCUGGAAUAUACAUUGAGCCUCACAAAGUCAAAUAAUCCUUUGUCCAGCCUCUUAGUACAUCACAGUCCAUACAGACAAUCUGUUUUGGCUUUUUUGUUUGUUUUUUUAGAGACAGGAUCUUGCUCUGUCAGCCAGGCUGGAACACAGUGGUGUGAUCACAGCUCUCUGUAACCACGAACUCCUGGGCUCAAGCAAUCAUCUUGCUUCAGCUUUCUGAAUGGCUAAGACUAUAGGUUUGUGACACCAUACCCAGCUAAUUUUUAUUUUUAUUUUGCAGAGAUGGGGUCUUGCUAUGUUGCCUAGGCUGUGCUCAAAAGAUUCUCCUGCCUCAGCCUCCCAAACUGUUGGGUUCACAGGCGUGAGCCACUGCAACUGACCCUCAGAAUCAGUAUCUGACCAUGUUUCUCUUCAGGAUCAUAAGUCUUUUUAAAGAAAAAAUAUGAACAACCAAAUUAUGUUGUAGACUCUUAGUUUGCUUUCAAAUGACCCCAUUCUAUCAAAAUAGAUUAGACAUUAAGAGCAGUGUUAGCAUGAGGUCAGGGGUUUGAGACCAGCCUGGCCAACAUGGUGAAACCCCAUCUCUCCUAAAACUACAAGGAAAAAAAAAAUUAGCGGGGCAUGGUGGCUGGUGCCUGUAAUUCUAGCUACUUGGGAGGCUGAGGUAGGAGAAUUGCUUGAACCUGGGAGGCAGAGGUUGCAGUGAGCCAAGAUCGCACCACUGCACACCACCUGGGUGACAGUGCAUGACUCCAUCUAAAAUUAAAAAAAAAGGCAGCGUUAGCAGGCAAUUAACUCUUUGUGCCUAUCCACUGCUUCCUAACCCAUUUACCUAAAUAGACAGUCUAGAAUAUCAUAUGCUUACACCCUUAUGUAUUCUGUCUGGAAGUAAUAAUAUAAAAGAUAGCAUUAAUUUACUUUUUUUCAGUAGAUGCUACCGAACUGUCAACAUGUUAUUAGCCUUGAGUUCAGAUGUUCAAACUUGUCUCAGGCAGCUCUUGCUACCUGGUACCCAUUUUGUUUUAUUUUUAUUUAUCUUUUGGAGGGCAAGGAGGGAAUGGCUUUGAAAAAUCUCCUAGGCAAGAAAGAAGUCUUUUCUGCAAGGAAAAUGGAUCGUACUUUGUUUUCCUUCAUAAAGGGUAAUGAGGAUAUAAUCUCAAAGCUAUGCUUGACCAUCAUCUGUCAAACUAAAGCAAAUAAGCCAAGUCCCAUCUUCCCUUAUUGUAAAACUAGACCAGAGGAUAACCAACAUUGUCUAGGCAAAGAAAACCACCCACACUUCAGAAAAUGUUUACUUUUUCACUCUUGUUGAGUGAUAUGCCAUCAAGGUAUGAGUUAGACCUUGGCAUUUUGUGGAAAGGUUUUCUUUGUUUAGCAAAACCACAGCUGUUCACUUCUGGUAAUUUUGGAUUUCCUAAAAAGUGGCCAUAGCUUCUGAAUUUGAUUUUUAGUAAUCUUUAGCAGACUGAGAAUUUUUCUGAUUUGAAGAUUAUAUUGAAACACCAAAAAAAAAAAGUAGAGUGGUUUGUGUUUUACCUUCUGUAUUAAUGUGAAAUUAGAGAUGAAGCCUCUUUGUUGCUGAAAUAACUGCAUCCCCUUGUUUUCUGCUGUCCACUUUUAUGUAUUUCCUAAAUAUUCACAAAUCUUGAUACACUCCUGUAGAGAUUCUUAUUUUGUUUGUAUGUGUGUUUUUUUUACAGUAAUGUAUUUUUUUGGGAAUCCACCCACAGCUUUUUCAUGGUUUCUUCUGUAAUUUGGGUUUUAUUUUAAAACACUAUUGGAGUCCCUGGGGGGAAUCCUGCUGUUACCCCUAUCUAGAUCUCAAGGUUAUCUCCCUAUUCCGUUGAACGAGAGAGCCGAAGUCAAAGGUGAGUCAGGGAUUCCUUGGUGUGCAGGUUCUCACUGAUAAACAUGUUUUCUCCAGACCCAGCUGGGGGGCUAAGACUGGGGCAAUUGGUGAUGAGAGGGGCUGCUUCCAUCAAGUUCAGUAGCCCUCUGUCACAUGAGAAACUAUUUCACAACAAUCUCUACCCAUUUGUCCUCCACUGUGGAUAGGGAAGGGGGAGGGACUUGCUUAAAGAGUUCUAAGGUCAUUUUUUUCUCAUUAAAAAAAUUGCAGUGAAGGAUUCAUAACAUUAAAAUGACCAUUUUAACCAUUUUUAAGUUUAUAAUUUGGUGGCAUUAAGGGCAUUCACAUUUUUGUCCAACCGUCACCACUACCCAUCUUUAAGUGACUUGAAGACGAUUUGUUUAAAGUCACUUCUUGCCUCAGUUCCCAAAUUCCAGUUGACUGUGCACUCUCUGUCUCUCUCUCUCUCUUAAAGUCUAUGUUCUCAUUCUGAUUAUUUAACUUGGAGAGUGAGAAGGAUUUUUUUUUAACACCGCAUGAUGAAUUGGUCUCAGUGGAAUUCAAACGAUCUCGUUGUUUUGGUUAUUUCUUAUCAGGAAUGCUGGAUUUUUUUCUAAGAGCCAUGGCAGAGGUGAAGGGGCAAAACGGAGCCACCUCCUUUUGACUCAAUUAAGCAGAAGUGAGGAAAUGAUUGGGUGAUGGUAAAUCAUUCCUGGACAUAUAUUCUCCAUGCUAAAGGGGCAUCUGACACCCUGAAGAAACUGAGACCCCAGUUUUUACCUAGUGAACCUUCUGGCUGCACUUUAGGGAAAACUCCUUAUUGUUUUUAUAUUUGCUCUCCAUUGAUAAGAACUUCUUAAGGUCACAGUGUCCUUGGGUAAUGAAGCCAGGCAGAGGAAUGUUCUUUAAUAUUUACCUAGUGUGCACAGCACACCAGGAACUCUACAAAAGAUACACACAGAACAUGCCCAGCCUCUAGCUCAGCCUGACUUGGGGAGACUUCCCAUCAGGCACACCCUGUGCUGGCUCCAGCUUCUGGAGUUUCUGGGGAAUCAUACAUGAAGGGAUUAUCAUCUUCACCCAGUAUCCGGAUCAUCGGCCACAGAAGUUUGUUUGCUCAACACAGUCUGAAUCAGUACCAUGUUGAAUAAGACACAUUUUCCUUCUUGAAAUAUUCUUAGAACAAUGUUUGCAUUUUCCCCAAGGAAAAAACUUGCUCAGACACACACAGUUCUUUCUGAUCCAGAUACCCUGCUCUCCUCUGCCUCCUCUCAUUGUUGAAAAAGUGUUUCUAUUCCUGUACCCUAAACCCGCUCAAAGGGUUUCGAUUUGGAGGUAUUUUUCCCUUCCACAUAUGGAUAUGGCAGUAUCAUAAAUCUGAAGGAAGGAGCAAAAUUUUAAUCUGGGUGCAGCUGCGUGUAUACUGCUUCUCUCCUAAGGCAGGAUCUUCUAGUCAAAUCUCUGGCUAGUUGAAGAUGAUAUUAGGUAUAGAACUAGUUUGUUUAACCAAAACAAGAUGUAAGUGGAAGCAGCACUCAUGAUGCAGAACUAUUUAAAACUUUGUAGAGACAAUCUGAAGACCUAACUGGUGUGUUAGUCAGUAAGUUUUAACACCCUUUAAAUUGCUAAUGAAUCCCAGCGCCCAACAUUAUGAGCUGCUAAGUAGCUUCUAAAAGGAUUACUGUCAGACUUAAAAGUGUUUUCUUUCCACCAGGGCUGUAGUGGUCUUCAUAUAAAAUAUCAGUUGCUAUUAUUAAACUUUUUACACUGAAAAAUAAUUUAGUAUAAUAAUUAUAUUAUUUCAGGCAAGAUUUAGUUACAUGUUACAAAUACUUUAUAAAGUAAGCUGGGUGGGGUGGCUCAUGCCUGUAAUCCCAGCACUUUGGAACACUGAAGUAGGAGGAUCCAUUUAGCCCAGGAGUUUGAGAACAGCCUGGGCAACAUAGCAAGACUCCAUCUCAAUCAAUAAGUCAAUCAAUAAGCCGGACGUGGUGGCAUGCUCCUGUAGUUCUGCUACUUGGGAGGCAGAGGCAGAAGGAUCACUUGAAGCCAGGAGUUUGAGUUUGCAGUGAGCUAUAUGUAGCCUAGGUGACAGAGCAAGACCCUGUCUCUUAAAAAAAAAAAAAAGGUAGACGCUAUUGAAUAGCCAACUAAGCUAGAGUCAAAUCCAUGUACUAUCAGCCAUCCUAGCAUCUUGUGAGGUGGGUAGACACCAAGUCAGUCAGCUUCUAUGUUACAAAAACAAAAACAAAAUGGAGAAGGGAGAAUUCCUAGCAUAUGGAGCUGGUGGGGGCAUUGUAGGAUAGGUAGGUAGUCCAGGGUUCUUCCUCAGAUGUCCCUAACUCCCACCUCACCACUAUGUCUGGUGCAGAGAACUCUUCUACAGUAUUUCUGCUCACCUAGCCUCUCCUUGCCUGGUUUCCCACAACUGGACAAGUCAGCUCAUUUCUUAUCUACAUGGCUCUAAUUGUUAGAGAGUUAAAACUGUGAGUCCUCAAUUCUCUGCCUUCAGUAAUCACUGGCCAUGCUCGCAGCCAAGACAAGCUGUUAUUGUAUACUGUCAAGUUUUAGAAGACAUGUGCAGAGCUCACAUAAAGCAUUUCCCAUGGAUUGUUUGUAUUUUAGCAGAGUUGCAAGGAGUCAAGUACCAACAGUACAUGAGAAAUGUCUUAUCCAUCGCAUUAACACCUCCUUUCCUUUGAUAAAAAGCCCUCAGGUGGUCUUGGGAAUAUAGUGCAGAUGCACAGGUCAACAUGGAAAUUGGAAAACUCAGAUAGGACUUUGAUGGAAGUCAACCAUUCAAACCUGAAUCUUCUACUCGGCUCCUCUUGUUAAAAUGUUGAUAGCAAGGAAGAGAGGGCCAUGCCUAGGUUCAAGUAAAGGGCAUAUCUGAGAAGAAGGCUGGGGGAUAGCUGGUCCCUCAGCUACAGCUUUUAUCGGCCGUGCUGUAUCCUCAACUUCACUCCUAAGGAAAUGGGAUCAAGAACAACACAGUAUCACUUUUGCUCAGCAAGCCACUAGAAGGCCAACCCCAGUAUUUUACACAUUGUAAACCAUUUAAUAGCCGUUGACAGAAGGUUUGUAAACCUAAAUGGCUGCAGGACCAAGAAAGAAACACAAAUGAAUGAAAUGUUCCACGUACAAAAUCUAAGUGACCCUUUGUUCAAGAAUGCAAUGGGGAGUGGUGAGGACUGGGCAAAUGGUGGUCUUGGGAACAUAGUGCAGAUGCACAGGUCAACACCCGUCUAAAGGAGGACGUUGCUUCUCAACUCUAAUAGGUUCUUUUUGUUUUAUUCCUAUUUCUAUGUAUUUUUUUUAAUUUUACUUCGAAUUCUGGGAUACAUGUGCUGAACGUGCAGGGUUGUUACAUAGGUAUUCAUGUACCAUCAUGGUUUGCUGCACCCAUCAACCUGUCAUCUAGGUUUUAAGUCCCGCAUGCAUUAGGUAUUUGUCCUAAUGCUCUCCCUCCCUUUGCUCCCCACUCCCUGACAGGCCCCAGUGUGUGCUGUUUCCCAAUAGGUUCUUAUAAUGAAGGAAUGCAGAUCCAGUGUUGCCAGAAAUCUGGAUUUUUUAAGUGAACCAUCCCAAAUGACUCAAUUUGGAAUUUGAAAACAUUAUGUGGAAUAAUAUGGUAUAGGCCAACCAAAACAAGCCUGGGAGUCAAAUGCCAUUUGCAGAUGCUGGCCUAGGGUCAGAGAGGAUCAUGGAGUUGUGUCCCAAGUAAGGGCAUUUAAGAUGGGACUAUGAAGGAGUCCAGAUGGUUUUCUGCAAUGGGCCUUCGCCAUUCCCUUCCCUCUUCUCCAGAAGAAAAAUUGAGCUAAGCUCUGUGCCAUCCCUGAAGAAAUGCCUGUUGCCCUCUCAGAUCAAGGAGCUUAUUGGAGUGCAGAGGAGGAAGCUAGCUGAGAAUGGGAAUGUGGGGCAUGGAUACACAAGCAGCAGGGACAGAGCAUGAACACAGGAGACUACAGAGUUCUAGCACAUUUGAAGACAUGCCUAAACUCUUGCCAUUAGAACCUUUAACAUUUCCCCCCUUUCCUAAAAUCGUCCCUUUGCUUACUUCGAAUUGUCAGUACCGCCUUCAACCAAAAGCAUAGUUAAUGGAUUUGAAAUCAAUGCUCUCAAGUCUUAAUACACCGUGUUACCUGCGAUUUUGACUGACAUAUCCUCUCCAGGGGAUCAGACGGGAAAGGUGCCUGACAGGAACACUGGAGAAUUUCAGUCCUGAUUUGAAAUGAACGAUUAAGCCAACUGAUGCCGAAACAUGGUGUGUUCAGAGUUCCUGCUGGAGGAAUGCGGCGUUGUGCCUCUCCCCAUUUAUCAUGCUGUUUACAAAUCCUGUUAGAAGUUGAAAGUAAAUUAUCAUCCUGCUGUU
Molecule: non-coding RNA, 24297 nt
Organism: Callithrix jacchus (white-tufted-ear marmoset)
Lineage: Eukaryota; Metazoa; Chordata; Mammalia; Primates; Cebidae
Source: RefSeq, a predicted model, not a curated record